This 1982-nucleotide ribosomal RNA is filed under the name Clostridioides difficile. RNAcentral's name for it is "bacterial LSU rRNA". It matches the Rfam family "Bacterial large subunit ribosomal RNA", at positions 350 to 2352 of the family's 2925-position model. Lineage: Bacteria; Bacillati; Bacillota; Clostridia; Peptostreptococcales; Peptostreptococcaceae. The record is from RNAcentral.
ACCCACCACAGAAGGUAAUAGUCCUGUAUGUUAAACGAGAAGACUUUAGAUAUGAUCCAGAGUACCACGGGACACGUGAAACCCUGUGGGAAGCAGGAGGGACCACCCUCCAAGGCUAAAUACUACCUAGUGACCGAUAGCGUAUAGUACCGUGAGGGAAAGGUGAAAAGAACCCCGGGAGGGGAGUGAAAUAGAACCUGAAACCCUGCACUUACAAGCUGUGGAAGCACAUUUCUUGUGUGACCGCGUACUUUUUGUAGAACGGGCCAACGAGUUACGUUAAGUAGCAAGGUUAAGCACUUAAGGUGCGGAGCCGUAGCGAAAGCGAGUUUUAACUGAGCGUUCAGUUACUUGACGUAGACCCGAAACCGGGCGACCUACCCAUGAGCAGGAUGAAGCGAAAGUAAAAUUUCGUGGAGGUCCGAACCCACGAGCGUUGAAAAGCUCGGGGAUGACUUGUGGGUAGCGGUGAAAUUCCAAUCGAGCCCGGAGAUAGCUGGUUCUCCCCGAAAUAGCUUUAGGGCUAGCCUCAAGGUGAGAGAUACGGAGGUAGAGCACUGAAUGUCCUAGGGGGUAUUGCACCUACCGAAGACUAUCAAACUCCGAAUGCCGUCAUCUUAUACUUGGGAGUCAGACUGUGGGUGAUAAGAUUCAUAGUCGAAAGGGCAACAGCCCAGAUCGUCAGCUAAGGUCCCUAAAUGUAAGUUAAGUGGUAAAGGAUGUGGGAUUGCACAGACAACCAGGAUGUUGGCUUAGAAGCAGCCACUCAUUCAAAGAGUGCGUAAUAGCUCACUGGUCGAGUGAUCCUGCGCCGAAGAUUUCCGGGGCUAAAACUUACUACCGAAGCUACGGCAUCAGUAAUGAUGGGUAGGGGAGCUUCCCAUACGGGUUGAAGCAUGACCGUAAGGACAUGUGGACAGUAUGGGAGUGAGAAUGUUGGCAUGAGUAGCGAGAUGUGGGUGAGAAUCCCACAGGCCGUAAACCCAAGGUUUCCAGGGGAAGGUUCGUCCGCCCUGGGUUAGUCGGGACCUAAGCUGAGGCCGAAAGGCGUAGGUGAUGGACAACAGGUUGAUAUUCCUGUACUACCGAUAACCGUUUGAGAGAAGGGAUGACACAGUAGGAUAAGCUAAGCACACUGUUGGUUAUGUGUGCCCAAGCAUUGAGGCAGUCAAAGUAGGCAAAUCCGCUUUGAUAAUGCUGGGAUGUGAUGGGGAGCGAAAUUUAGUAGCGAAGUAGCUGAUUUCACACUGUCAAGAAAAGUCUCUAUCGAGGUUAAAGGUACCCGUACCGCAAACCGACACAGGUGGGUGAGGAGAGUAUCCUAAGGCCAGCGAGAGAACUGUUGUUAAGGAACUCGGCAAAAUGACCCCGUAACUUAGGGAUAAGGGGUGCCACCAUCAGGUGGCCGCAGAGAAUAGGCCCAAGCGACUGUUUACCAAAAACAUAGGUUUCUGCUAAGUCGCAAGACGAUGUAUAGGAGCUGACGCCUGCCCGGUGCUGGAAGGUUAAGGGGAUCUGUUAGAGCAAUCGAAGCAGUGAACUUAAGCCCCAGUAAACGGCGGCCGUAACUAUAACGGUCCUAAGGUAGCGAAAUUCCUUGUCGGGUAAGUUCCGACCCGCACGAAAGGCGUAACGAUUUGGGCACUGUCUCAACAACAGACUCGGUGAAAUUGUAAUUCCGGUGAAGAUGCCGGAUACCUGCGACAGGACGGAAAGACCCCAUGGAGCUUUACUGUAGCUUGACAUUGGGUCUUGGUACUACAUGUACAGGAUAGGUGGGAGGCUUUGAAACCAGGACGCCAGUUUUGGCGGAGCCAUCCUUGGGAUACCACCCUUGUAGUACUGGGACUCUAACCAUAGGCCAUGAAUCUGGUCUUGGGACACUGUCAGGUGGGCAGUUUGACUGGGGCGGUCGCCUCCCAAAAGGUAACGGAGGCGCUCAAAGGUUCUCUCAGUACGGUCGGAAAUCGUACGUAGAGUGU